Long non-coding RNA from Drosophila elegans, 715 nucleotides. RefSeq lists it as uncharacterized. The record is from RefSeq and is a predicted model, not a curated record. NCBI's taxonomy places the organism in Eukaryota, Metazoa, Arthropoda, Insecta, Diptera, Drosophilidae. The transcript has 3 exons.
CAUCUCUACCACAAAUCAAAACAAAACAAAGUUAUAUGUACAUCAAGCAAACUAAGACAAUUCGACGAAAUUGGUGGCUUCGAUGUCCUUGCCACGACGCACCCACCCAACCUUGGGUGCCCCAAGAAAGAUGUGGGAGGCACACCCCAUCUCCGGCAGACCGGAGUCUAUUCCUGGUGGAUUAGGAUCGGCUCAUCUCCCCGCCCAAGAAACUCUUAAGGCCGAUCCCAGACCGUCGCCCAGAUGAGAAGCAACAACCGAAAGGGAAAUUUUUAGACGCUUAAAGUUCCAAGUGUCAGGCAAAGUCGCCGCACGGCACUAAAUUGGAGGCGUUUGCCAACCGGGUCGCCUAAUCCUGAGGAGCUCCAAGGGAAAAGAAGGGACGUGCUGAUAACGUAAGUACGCUAAACAAAUCCCACAAGUUAUUAAAUUUCGCGACCCAAUUUAGAUGUAGUUGGACGCGCGCGCUCUAAUUUUAGAUUAGAUUUCACAAGUUCAACGUCGGAUGUGGUUGAAACUGCAGCCCGAAUGGAAAAACGCUAGCGGCGAAAACCAGCGCGAGUCCGCACGGAGCCAGUUGGUCCGGAGGAUAGUGCAGCGUGGCCGGAGGCAGUGCGUCGGUGGACUUGGAGAUGACCACGUGGCCAGCGCGGGCAUUCGUUCCCGGAACGGACUCACCGAGGGAAUCUCCGUAUCUGGCCGUCUUGGAGGCAGU